AGAGGAUGGGGAUUUGGCGAAGU
Molecule: microRNA, 23 nt
Filed under: Mus musculus (house mouse)
Lineage: Eukaryota; Metazoa; Chordata; Mammalia; Rodentia; Muridae
Description: mmu-miR-6924-5p
Source: miRBase by way of RNAcentral